Molecule: ribosomal RNA, 497 nt
Filed under: uncultured bacterium
Lineage: Bacteria
Description: partial 16S ribosomal RNA
Rfam family: Bacterial small subunit ribosomal RNA
Source: RNAcentral
GAUGAACGCUGGCGGCGUGCCUAAUACAUGCAAGUCGAGCGAACGGACGAGAAGCUUGCUUCUCUGAUGUUAGCGGCGGACGGGUGAGUAACACGUGGAUAACCUACCUAUAAGACUGGGAUAACUUCGGGAAACCGGAGCUAAUACCGGAUGAUAUUUUGAACCGCAUGGUUCAAAAGUGAAAGACGGUCUUGCUGUCACUUAUAGAUGGAUCCGCGCUGCAUUAGCUAGUUGGUAAGGUAACGGCUUACCAAGGCAACGAUGCAUAGCCGACCUGAGAGUGUGAUCGGCCACACUGGAACUGAGACACGGUCCAGACUCCUACGGGAGGCAGCAGUAGGGAAUCUUCCGCAAUGGGCGAAAGCCUGACGGAGCAACGCCGCGUGAGUGAUGAAGGUCUUCGGAUCGUAAAACUCUGUUAUUAGGGAAGAACAUAUGUGUAAGUAACUGUGCACAUCUUGACGGUACCUAAUCAGAAAGCCACGGCUAACUACGUG